UUUACCAAAAACAUGGCUUCUUGUAGUAAAUAAAUAGGGAGUCGGACCUGCCCAGUGAAAGUUUUUAACGGCCGCGGUACUCUGACCGUGCAAAGGUAGCAUAAUCAUUUGCCUUAUAAUUGAAGGCUGGUAUGAAUGGUUUGACAAGAAUAUAGCUGUCUCUUUAUAAUUUAAUAGAAUUUUAUUUUAAGGUGAAGAAGCCUUGAUCAAAUUAAAAGACAAGAAGACCCUAUCGAGCUUGAAAGAAUUUAAUGGAAUAUAUAGUAUUAAUAAUUAGUUAAAAAAUUAUCUAUUAAAAAUUUUGGUUGGGGCGACUGAGGAACAAAAAUAGCUUCCUUUAAAACGUAAUAACAUACAUGUAUUGAUCCAAAAUUUUUGAUUAAAGAAAUUAGUUACCGUAGGGAUAACAGCAUUAUCCUCUUUGAGAGUUCUUAUCGAAAAGGGGGUUUGUGACCUCGAUGUUGGACCAGAAUAUCCUAAAGAUGCAGAAGUCUUUAAGGGUUGGUCUGUUCGACCAUUAAAAUUCUACGUGAUCUGAGUUCAGACCGG
This 549-nucleotide ribosomal RNA is filed under the name Polystira oxytropis. RNAcentral describes it as "partial 16S ribosomal RNA". It matches the Rfam family "Bacterial large subunit ribosomal RNA", at positions 1803 to 2619 of the family's 2925-position model. Lineage: Eukaryota; Metazoa; Mollusca; Gastropoda; Neogastropoda; Turridae. The record is from RNAcentral.